RNA transcript from Panicum virgatum (switchgrass), 2321 nucleotides. RefSeq lists it as uncharacterized. Lineage: Eukaryota; Viridiplantae; Streptophyta; Magnoliopsida; Poales; Poaceae. The transcript is spliced from 3 exons. The record is from RefSeq and is a predicted model, not a curated record.
UGACUCUAGGGUUGCAUCCCCGCUUCGAUUGAUUCUGUUUGAUCUGUUCCGCGUCUCUAUUUGCUUGCGUUUGUGCUCGAUUAGGUCGAUUUCAUAUAUUCGCUGAAUUUUGACCGUAAUCCCAUUGUUAUUUUUGUUGAUUUAGUACAAGCAGUUUCGUCGAUCUCGUCCCCGCGGCAGAGUACGCCACCGCCGCCUCCACCGGGGUUCGCUUGCGCCGCCGUAGGAGCCUGGCCACCCUCCGCGUGAUUUGCCCCAUCCUCUGCUGCAGCGAUUGAACCUGGGAACCUCCGCGUGAUUGCUCUGGCCUCCUCCUGCUGCUGCAUGCGACGCGACGGGGACCCUUCCCUUCAACUCUCUCUCUCUCUCUCACCAUCCAGUUCUCUGUUUCUGAUUGAUUUGUUUUGACUCAUAUUUUUCUCCCUUCACUUCGACUGAUUAGAUUUAGGAUAUUUCUUGCUUUAUAUAAUUUUGAAGUCGUUUUAUUCUGAUGAUAGGUUACAUACAUAUUUAGUUACAGAAAUAUGUUGUUUAAAUAUUUUGAUAAGCUUGUUUGUAGCUAUAGUUUAAAUUCAUUUAGCUUAUUGGUUUUUUCUCAUUGCAGUUUUAUGUUGCAUUGUUUUUACUACUCUAUACACCCAUUUAUUGGUAGCUUCUUUCUUCAUUUUCCUCUAUAGUGGAAGCCAUUACUGUUGUCUUAGUUCAUUUUUUCUAGUUUCACGUUCCUUGUUGCUGGAAUUACACUAUAGACAAUUAUAAGUUUUGCUUACUUUCCAGGUCUAAAUCAUGAACAAUUUUCAUUAUCAAUCUUCUGGUAGUGAUGAAAGUAUUAAAAUUGCUGCCUACAAGGAAGUUCUUAAGAAUGUAAGUUACUAUUAUUUCUUCUUCCUGUAUCCCAGCCCUCUAAAUAAUUUUGAAGUAUUUCUAUUUUUAUCAAGAGAGCUUAUUAUUUUUAUUCAUCAUCAAUGGGUGUACUGAUUGCAAUUUGGGAGUGUGCCCAUAUAUUAUGAAGUGGUUAGUUCUUGUUGAGCCGAUGGUGACUUUGUAUUUUGCAAGCUAGAUACUUGGUUAAUUAUAUCUUUAGAGUAUCCUAAAACCUAAUAUGUGUUAUUAUUAUUAUUAUUAUUAUUAUUGGAAAUGUAGUUGGUAUUUUGAUUCUUCCAAUGUUCAAUAUUGUCCUUACUAAGUAAUGAGAUAAGAGAUCAGUGCCACAUGUUCUCUUACAUUAGUUGCAUACUCAGAUUACAUGUGGUUGUGAACUGUCAUUUAUAAAGUUAUAUACUGUCAUUUACAAAGUCUUUCUGUUUUAUUGGAUUUUCUUUUUUAUUUAUAUUCAUCUUCUAUUUUCAUUUCCUUUUGUUUGUUAGUACAAUGAACUCAAGGUUUCGAAGCGGAAGCUUGCGAAGACUAUAACACAUGAGGUUCUACUGUUUCUAUCGUAUUUUCUUUUGUGGUUAUAUUAUCUGCUACAUAUCUUAUUUAUUGAUUACCUUUUACCUUCCUAAUAUUUCUUAUUUAUUAGGAGGCAAAGAAACAUAAUAUGUUGAAUUUGAACUAUCACUUUAGAUGAUAUUUGUUGUCAGUUUCACCUCAGUUAAUUUUGCCAUGUCUUCUUGUUUUUGGGAAUUUCUAAUUUGUUCCCAUAGCAGAUCUGUAUAAAAACCCUACAAAAACAUCAUUGCUGUGUAAGUUUCUUUUUUUUAAUGUUCUAUGCUCAUGCCUUUUAGAUCAAGACCAUAUAUUUUUACUUGAUGAUGAUAAUUGCUGCUCUGAUUUAGAUUGUUUUGUGCUUCUGGAAAACUCAUUUCAUUUGAACAUAGAUGACUUGCUAUCUGCAUUUCUGAAGAUGUCCACUUUCUUUUUUGACCACUUAUAGCCAUCACAAACAUUAAAAUUUUUGUUCAGUAUGGUUUUCAUUAGAUUAUAGCAUUCAUACAUCCAGUAAUCAGUAUAUGUCAAACCAUUUACCUCAUCAUCCAUGUUGUAACUAGUAUCUUCAUUCAAUUGUAUACUGUGAGUUUGACUUAUUAUAACUGAUAGUUCAUAUGUGCUUAUAGGUUCCUGAAAGUGGCAAAGCAAUGUCAAGUCAACUUCAAUAAUCACAUAGCUAUGAUCAUUUCAUCUAGUUUCUAUAGUUCAGUAGUUCAGUAAUUGUAAUCAGAUUAUUACCUUUUCUUUCAUCAGCUUUUCCUGUGUGUUAUGACUCAAACUUGAUUUUUUUCUUCAGUCCCUACUUUGUUGUACUUAUCUCAUGGUAGCUGAUUCUUUGAAAUUGAUUAACAAAGUACAUUUCGAAUAAUCAAAUUUGAGUUUAGUUUCAA